AUUGAACGCUGGCGGCAGGCCUAACACAUGCAAGUCGAGCGGAUGAAGGGAGCUUGCUCCUGGAUUCAGCGGCGGACGGGUGAGUAAUGCCUAGGAAUCUGCCUGGUAGUGGGGGAUAACGUCCGGAAACGGGCGCUAAUACCGCAUACGUCCUGAGGGAGAAAGUGGGGGAUCUUCGGACCUCACGCUAUCAGAUGAGCCUAGGUCGGAUUAGCUAGUUGGUGGGGUAAAGGCCUACCAAGGCGACGAUCCGUAACUGGUCUGAGAGGAUGAUCAGUCACACUGGAACUGAGACACGGUCCAGACUCCAACGGGAGGCAGCAGUGGGGAAUAUUGGACAAUGGGCGAAAGCCUGCUCCAGCCAUGCCGCGUGUGUGAAGAAGGUCUUCGGAUUGUAAAGCACUUUACGUUGGGAGGAAGGGCAGUAAGUUAAUACCUUGCUGUUUUGACGUUACCUACAGAAUAAGCACCGGCUAACUUCGUG
Molecule: ribosomal RNA, 484 nt
Filed under: uncultured bacterium
Lineage: Bacteria
Description: partial 16S ribosomal RNA
Rfam family: Bacterial small subunit ribosomal RNA
Source: RNAcentral